This 486-nucleotide ribosomal RNA is filed under the name Triticum aestivum (bread wheat). Its description in RNAcentral is "partial small subunit ribosomal RNA". The record is from RNAcentral. Lineage: Eukaryota; Viridiplantae; Streptophyta; Magnoliopsida; Poales; Poaceae.
AUGAAUAUAAAAAGUUGUGGAGCUGUGGUGAGUCUUAAGAAGUGGUCGGAAUCUGUUGGUGCCAAGGGUGUACUUAACAUUGCUUGGGUCAAUGUUAGCAACAUCCCUCUGGACAAAAGGCAUGAAAUGAACAUUGCAUAUGUUGGAUCUUUGGUGGGUGUGACCUUGGAAAUUGAUAAAUCCACUGUGAACAGGCCUGAAUCGGUCAGAAUUAAGUUGGGUUGCAGAGAUGCUGAAAAUAUUCCAGGAAAAGCUGAGGGAGUGCUGGGUGACCACUUCUAUGAUUUCUUCUACUCUGUUGACAAGAUUCUGGUUAAGAAUCCUCCAAAAGAAAGUGUUGUUGUGGUCCAGGAAUCUGACAAAGGUGUGUCACCAAAGAGAGCUAGGAUUAAUGAUAAUAUUCGACGUGUUGGGCAGGGGGUUCCUCCUCUACUAUGGGGAACCUCUCUGUCCCACCAAAUUCUGUUGGAAAUGGAGGUAAUAUGA